AUAUGCUAGGUCUACAAAAUGUCAAAACAGCCAGGCAAAUCAUGCCAGGAUUCAUCAUGGCAGGGGGAAACCAGUCACCCCUGAUACUCACCAUUGAGCAGCCCAAACAACUCUUAAUGACUAAGGUUUUUUCCACUUACACCUGGUUUUAAAAGUUCAUUAGUAGGAAAAGGCUUUAUAAAUUGUGAUACAUUCAUAUGAAGGGAUAUUAUAUCAAAUUUAAAGUGAGUGAACUGAAACUAACGUAUCAAUAUUGAUACAUCUAAAAUAAUAAUGUUGAAUACAAAAGCAAUUUUUAGAAUAAUCAAUAUUAUUCAUGCAAAUUUUAGUAACAUGAAGUAAUACUAUAUAUUGUGUUGUACACAUACUUACGGAGUAAAUCUACCAAACAUGGACAGGACAGACGCAUACAUCUUUGAGACGGUAGCUAUUCUGGGGAGGAAGGAAAAGGGCUGGAAGGAGGCAAGCGACAAAGGAUACAGUUA
RNAcentral lists this long non-coding RNA (485 nucleotides) under Homo sapiens (human). Its description in RNAcentral is "non-protein coding lnc-LPP-5:1". The record is from RNAcentral. Lineage: Eukaryota; Metazoa; Chordata; Mammalia; Primates; Hominidae.